Molecule: ribosomal RNA, 569 nt
Filed under: Beauveria bassiana
Lineage: Eukaryota; Fungi; Ascomycota; Sordariomycetes; Hypocreales; Cordycipitaceae
Also listed under: 1 other name
Description: eukaryotic LSU rRNA
Rfam family: 5.8S ribosomal RNA (bases 204-357)
Source: RNAcentral
GUAACAAGGUCUCCGUUGGUGAACCAGCGGAGGGAUCAUUACCGAGUUUUCAACUCCCUAACCCUUCUGUGAACCUACCUAUCGUUGCUUCGGCGGACUCGCCCCAGCCCGGACGCGGACUGGACCAGCGGCCCGCCGGGGACCUCAAACUCUUGUAUUCCAGCAUCUUCUGAAUACGCCGCAAGGCAAAACAAAUGAAUCAAAACUUUCAACAACGGAUCUCUUGGCUCUGGCAUCGAUGAAGAACGCAGCGAAAUGCGAUAAGUAAUGUGAAUUGCAGAAUCCAGUGAAUCAUCGAAUCUUUGAACGCACAUUGCGCCCGCCAGCAUUCUGGCGGGCAUGCCUGUUCGAGCGUCAUUUCAACCCUCGACCUCCCCUGGGGGAGGUCGGCGUUGGGGACCGGCAGCACACCGCCGGCCCUGAAAUGGAGUGGCGGCCCGUCCGCGGCGACCUCUGCGUAGUAAUACAGCUCGCACCGGAACCCCGACGCGGCCACGCCGUAAAACACCCAACUUCUGAACGUUGACCUCGAAUCAGGUAGGACUACCCGCUGAACUUAAGCAUAUCAA